This 73-nucleotide transfer RNA is filed under the name bacterium. RNAcentral's name for it is "tRNA-Lys". It matches the Rfam family "tRNA". From Rfam's summary of the family: Transfer RNA (tRNA) molecules are approximately 80 nucleotides in length. Their secondary structure includes four short double-helical elements and three loops (D, anti-codon, and T loops). The record is from RNAcentral.
GUGCCCGUAGCUCAGUCGGUAGAGCACCUGCCUUUUAAGCAGAGGGUCGUUGGUUCGAUUCCAACCGGGCACA